This 445-nucleotide ribosomal RNA is filed under the name uncultured bacterium. RNAcentral's name for it is "bacterial SSU rRNA". It matches the Rfam family "Bacterial small subunit ribosomal RNA", at positions 355 to 793 of the family's 1533-position model. The record is from RNAcentral.
UGGGGAAUAUUGCACAAUGGGCGCAAGCCUGAUGCAGCCAUGCCGCGUGUAUGAAGAAGGCCUUCGGGUUGUAAAGUACUUUCAGCAGUGAGGAAGGUGGGUAUGUUAAUAGCAUACUCAUUUGACGUUAGCUGCAGAAGAAGCACCGGCUAACUCCGUGCCAGCAGCCGCGGUAAUACGGAGGGUGCGAGCGUUAAUCGGAAUUACUGGGCGUAAAGCGCAUGCAGGUGGUUUGUUAAGUCAGAUGUGAAAGCCCGGGGCUCAACCUCGGAAUUGCAUUUGAAACUGGCAAACUAGAGUACUGUAGAGGGGGUAGAAUUUCAGGUGUAGCGGUGAAAUGCGUAGAGAUCUGAAGGAAUACCGGUGGCGAAGGCGGCCCCCUGGACAGAUACUGACACUCAGAUGCGAAAGCGUGGGGAGCAAACAGGAUUAGAUACCCUGGUAG